CCUACGGGAGGCAGCAGUGAGGAAUAUUGGUCAAUGGGCGGGAGCCUGAACCAGCCAAGUCGCGUGAGGGAAGACGGUCCUAUGGAUUGUAAACCUCUUUAGGCGGGGAGCAAUGCCGGGCACGCGUGCCCGGAGGGAGAGUACCCGCAGAAUAAGCAUCGGCUAACUCCGUGCCAGCAGCCGCGGUAAUACGGAGGAUGCGAGCGUUAUCCGGAUUUAUUGGGUUUAAAGGGUGCGUAGGCGGAUUUUUAAGUCAGCGGUAAAAUGUCCGGGCUCAACCCGGGCCGGCCGUUGAAACUGGGGAGCUUGAGUGGGCGAGAAGGAUGCGGAAUGCGUGGUGUAGCGGUGAAAUGCAUAGAUAUCACGCAGAACUCCGAUUGCGAAGGCAGCAUACCGGCGCCCGACUGACGCUGAGGCACGAAAGCGUGGGGAUCGAACAGGAUUAGAUACCCCAGUAGUC
This 460-nucleotide ribosomal RNA is filed under the name uncultured bacterium. RNAcentral's name for it is "partial 16S ribosomal RNA". It matches the Rfam family "Bacterial small subunit ribosomal RNA", at positions 338 to 795 of the family's 1533-position model. The record is from RNAcentral.